This 460-nucleotide ribosomal RNA is filed under the name Nephroselmis pyriformis. RNAcentral's name for it is "partial Bacterial large subunit ribosomal RNA". It matches the Rfam family "Bacterial large subunit ribosomal RNA", at positions 1250 to 1710 of the family's 2925-position model. The record is from RNAcentral. Lineage: Eukaryota; Viridiplantae; Chlorophyta; Nephroselmidophyceae; Nephroselmidales; Nephroselmidaceae.
AUGAAGGUGGAUUGAGAAGUCUGCUGGACAUAUCACAAGUGCGAAUGCUGACAUGAGUAACGAUAAUGGGGGUGAAAAACCCCCACGCCGGAAGACCAAGGUUUCCUGCGCAACGCUAAUCGGCGCAGGGUGAGUCGGCCCCUAAGGCGAGACCGAAAGGUGUAGUCGAUGGGAAACGGGUUAAUAUUCCCGUACCUUGGAUAGCUGCGAUGGAGAGACGGAGAAGGCUAGGUGAGCCGGGCGACGGUUGUCCCGGUUUAAGCGAGUAGGGAGAGGACUUAGGCAAAUCCGGGUCCUUAAUCCUGAGACGUGACGACGACUGCUCAUUCGAGCGGGAAGUCAUUGAUGCCCUGCUUCCAGGAAAAUCUUCUAAGCUUCAGGCUAUUCGAGACCGUACCCCAAACCGACACAGGUGGUCAGGUAGAGAAUACCAAGGCGCUUGAGAGAACUCGGGUAAAGG